RNAcentral lists this ribosomal RNA (705 nucleotides) under uncultured beta proteobacterium. Its description in RNAcentral is "bacterial SSU rRNA". It matches the Rfam family "Bacterial small subunit ribosomal RNA", at positions 28 to 726 of the family's 1533-position model. Lineage: Bacteria; Pseudomonadati; Pseudomonadota; Betaproteobacteria. The record is from RNAcentral.
AUUGAACGCUGGCGGCAUGCCUUACACAUGCAAGUCGAACGGCAGCACGGGUGCUUGCACCUGGUGGCGAGUGGCGAACGGGUGAGUAAUACAUCGGAACAUGUCCUGUAGUGGGGGAUAGCCCGGCGAAAGCCGGAUUAAUACCGCAUACGAUCUACGGAUGAAAGCGGGGGACCUUCGGGCCUCGCGCUAUAGGGUUGGCCGAUGGCUGAUUAGCUAGUUGGUGGGGUAAAGGCCUACCAAGGCGACGAUCAGUAGCUGGUCUGAGAGGACGACCAGCCACACUGGGACUGAGACACGGCCCAGACUCCUACGGGAGGCAGCAGUGGGGAAUUUUGGACAAUGGGCGAAAGCCUGAUCCAGCAAUGCCGCGUGUGUGAAGAAGGCCUUCGGGUUGUAAAGCACUUUUGUCCGGAAAGAAAUCCUUGGUUCUAAUAUAGCCGGGGGAUGACGGUACCGGAAGAAUAAGCACCGGCUAACUACGUGCCAGCAGCCGCGGUAAUACGUAGGGUGCGAGCGUUAAUCGGAAUUACUGGGCGUAAAGCGUGCGCAGGCGGUUUGCUAAGACCGAUGUGAAAUCCCCGGGCUCAACCUGGGAACUGCAUUGGUGACUGGCAGGCUAGAGUAUGGCAGAGGGGGGUAGAAUUCCACGUGUAGCAGUGAAAUGCGUAGAGAUGUGGAGGAAUACCGAUGGCGAAGGCAGCC